This is a regulatory RNA element of Plesiomonas shigelloides 302-73, 96 nucleotides long. It matches the Rfam family "Glycine riboswitch aptamer". From Rfam's summary of the family: This family represents the bacterial glycine riboswitch. Glycine riboswitches usually consist of two metabolite-binding aptamers domains with similar structures in tandem. NCBI's taxonomy places the organism in Bacteria, Pseudomonadati, Pseudomonadota, Gammaproteobacteria, Enterobacterales, Enterobacteriaceae. The record is from Rfam.
GGACGAGCCCUUGGAGAGAUCCAUUGAGUUGGACGCCGAAGGCGCAAGGUGGCUCCCGCCACUCAAACGCUCAGGCAAAAGGACAGGGGAAGAGAU